UACGGGGGGGGCAAGCGUUGUUCGGAAUUACUGGGCGUAAAGGGCUCGUAGGUGGCCAACUAAGUCAGACGUGAAAUCCCUCGGCUUAACCGGGGAACUGCGUCUGAUACUGGAUGGCUUGAGUUCGGGAGAGGGAUGCGGAAUUCCAGGUGUAGCGGUGAAAUGCGUAGAUAUCUGGAGGAACACCGGUGGCGAAGGCGGCAUCCUGGACCGAGAUUGACGCUGAUGCGCGAAAGCCAGGGGAGCAAACGGG
Molecule: ribosomal RNA, 253 nt
Filed under: uncultured bacterium
Lineage: Bacteria
Description: partial 16S ribosomal RNA
Rfam family: Bacterial small subunit ribosomal RNA
Source: RNAcentral